RNAcentral lists this ribosomal RNA (351 nucleotides) under uncultured bacterium. Its description in RNAcentral is "bacterial SSU rRNA". It matches the Rfam family "Bacterial small subunit ribosomal RNA", at positions 28 to 363 of the family's 1533-position model. The record is from RNAcentral.
GACGAACGCUGGCGGCGUGCCUAACACAUGCAAGUCGUGCGAGAAAGUUCCUUCGGGAGCGAGUAAAGCGGCGCACGGGUGAGUAACACGUAGGUAACCUGCCCCCCAGUCUGGAACAACUAGAGGAAACUCUAGCUAAUGCCGGAUGAGACCACGAUCCCUUCGGGGGUUGCGGCCAAAGAUGGCCUCUACUUGUAAGCUAUCGCUGAGGGAUGGGCCUGCGGGCCAUUAGCUUGUUGGUGAGGUAACGGCUCACCAAGGCUGUGAUGGCUAGCUGGUCUGAGAGGAUGACCAGCCACACUGGGACUGAGACACGGCCCAGACUCCUACGGGAGGCAGCAGUGGGGAAUA